This 65-nucleotide transfer RNA is filed under the name Staphylinidae sp. BMNH 1274637. Its description in RNAcentral is "tRNA-Trp". The record is from RNAcentral. Lineage: Eukaryota; Metazoa; Arthropoda; Insecta; Coleoptera; Staphylinidae.
AAGGAUUUAAGUUAAAUAAACUUGUAGCCUUCAAAGCUUCUAAUAAAGAUACCAAUUAAAAAUAC